Non-coding RNA from Pseudomonas putida, 294 nucleotides. NCBI's taxonomy places the organism in Bacteria, Pseudomonadati, Pseudomonadota, Gammaproteobacteria, Pseudomonadales, Pseudomonadaceae. The record is from Rfam.
GAAAUUGUCGUCCUCGGCUGACAGCAAUGCCUGAAUGAAGUGUGGGGGAAUAUCCGCAAAACGGAUUGGAGACCGCCGCAUUUCGCCGAACUCGGCGAUCAGCUUGCCGUCACUGCUGUACACCCUCAGCGGUAUCUGCAACUGGAUGCUUCGCAGUGCCUCGACCGACGGCAGGCUGGGACUAAGAUACAGAAACGCGCCGCUCAGACCGAGGACGGCUGCGCAAAUGACUGCGACGAAAGACCACCAGAAGAACUUCAGCAGGCGUAUCAAGGCGUUGGGGUGUCCAGUUGG